Molecule: non-coding RNA, 1194 nt
Organism: Ciona intestinalis (vase tunicate)
Lineage: Eukaryota; Metazoa; Chordata; Ascidiacea; Phlebobranchia; Cionidae
Source: RefSeq, a predicted model, not a curated record
GAUCGAACAAGCGCAAAUGUUGGUGUUUAGGACUUGUUAUACAGUUAAAAUAGUGUUUGUGCACGGAGUAUGAUAGUAGCAGUGUACGUGUACAUCUGGCAACAAACUCCCGUGAAUUAACAUGACAAAUUAACGCCAAUGCAAGAACGCGCCAUUAAAAAUUGUUAUGCAAGUCGUCUAGACAUAAUAAAAAUGUUUACCUGAAAAAUGCAGAUUUCGCUCGUUGAAAUAGGUGAAAACCGGAUUUUUAUAGACUGCAAGCAAAACCUGUGCUACUAAAGAAUUCUUCCUAUCCACUGCGUAUUGCCUAAUCUGUAACGAUUCCCAAAUAGUACCACAAAAUUGUGGGGAGCAUUCUUCACUAGUACUGCAAUUUUGAUACUCUAGAGGGCAUAGACCACUAUAACAUAAGCUUAUUGACCAUCAUUAUUUACAAGGGUAGUUGCUUGUACUUGUACCAGACAAGUAACACAAUAAUCAGAUACAAUUAUAGAAGCUUAUAGUCAAAAUAAUUUCCAUUAUGAAAUAUAUAUAUUAUCUUGGAGCAUUAAUUGUUUAACACAUUUGGCAGCAAAAAGAACAACAAAGGGUAUGCAUUAAAUUCAAAAUGGUUAAGUAAUCGAAGUGAUGAAAGAUUAAAGAAUGCAAAUGCACAAAAGAAAGCAUCGACCCCGAGGAAAAAAGAUCUUGUAAAAUAGAAAAAUGAAGUUUUUAUUUUAUUAGGAUCGAUUAUGACACAAACACUUGCUGCUCCAUUUAAUAAUGCCAAAGUUUUAUUUGCACUUCUUUCAAAAAUUGGCAUAAAAACAGUGGUUGUGAUGUAAAAGCCAUUGUGACUUCUUUGUCAGAGUGUAUUUGGUUGUCUGUAUGAAGUAUAUGGUAUAAUACUCAAACUUUUAUGUCUGAAACUUCUUAUUUGUGCAGGUUAACGUGUUGAUUUACUGUUUUGUAUAUUUUGCUUUAAUUUAAACAAAUAAAACCAUUCAUUCACAUAUGUCAUACUUGUUAGUUGUUACAGCAUAGAACAAAACUUAGCAGACUUGUGUGGAACUCAGCUCGCAGAAACCCAAUGUUUUAGUAUGUAUGAGAAGAUUAUCAUUGUCUGAAUUAAUAGCAACAACCCAUCUGAAGUGUUUGCAGCACAUAAAUAACAGAACUUCAGCACAUAAAUAACGGAAUUUUAGUUAAACCAGU